RNAcentral lists this long non-coding RNA (934 nucleotides) under Homo sapiens (human). Its description in RNAcentral is "non-protein coding lnc-PDGFA-12:1". The record is from RNAcentral. Lineage: Eukaryota; Metazoa; Chordata; Mammalia; Primates; Hominidae.
AGCUGGUGCUUUCCCACAUGGCCUUGCCUGGUAUGCCAUGCCCCCUCCUCUUGGGAACCUUAAGUAAUAAACUCUCCUUUCAAGACAGCUGUCUCCAUGUUUGUCAUCUUAUCAUACCUAAUUAAAAUAAACCAUCGGUACAUCGCAAAACACAAGCCUCUGUCACCCUGGCAGCCGGGAAUGAACAGGAGAUGCCUUCCAGGUGCCCAAGCACUGGGCUGAUAACGCUGAUGGGCACAGAACAAGCUGAAGGUGCCACCCCCAGGAAGACUGCAGGAACUCUGAGAGGAGUAGCUUGUUCAGGGCCCCCCUGCCAGGGAUUGAAAUAAUUAUCACUAACACCAUCUUCCAUCUGUAGUGUUAGAUGGAAACUGAGUAAGGACUAGAGGGGUUGGGGGUGAUUCACCAACUCUUUACCCCUCAACAGAGCAGAAGGACAGCUUCCAGAGUGUGCUUCCAGAGGGCCCUGGGCGUGUUGAGUCCUAAGAGGAAGGAACCCCCAUCAUCAUGGUACAUGCUCUGAGUCGGGGCCUGGGGACUGGCUAGAGUCAGCUGACAGCAGCUGGAGCACACGUCAGAAAAACACAACCCACUGGCCUAGAGCUCCCGUCCCUGCCCUGUCUCUAACCUGGCCUUUGAUGCCUUUUAUUUUUCUUUCCUCAAAUGCACAUUAUUAACUGCAGAUGCCCAGCUGAGAAGAUGAGAGAAAGUUAAUGAAAUUACACGAGUGCUUUGCUGAGUUCUCUUUCAAACUACAGCUUGUUAAGUUAAAACAGCAGUGUGAAGGGUGUAGCUCUCUGUGAAGUUUCUGGAUGUGGCCCUGGCCUCAGGGAGGCUUGUGGGGUGGUCAAGGAAGCCUGGCAGAAGGUAGUUCAUGGCAGAGACACCAGCCACAUGUGGGCCUUCCUGUGUGGGCCUUGCCUGUGUGGGCCUG